This 301-nucleotide ribosomal RNA is filed under the name uncultured bacterium. RNAcentral's name for it is "partial 16S ribosomal RNA". It matches the Rfam family "Bacterial small subunit ribosomal RNA", at positions 509 to 807 of the family's 1533-position model. The record is from RNAcentral.
CAGCCGCCACGGGAAUACGUAGGCAGCGAGCGUUGUUCGGAAUUACUGGGCGUAAAGAGUGUGUAGGCGGUGCUCUAAGUUCGGUGUGAAAUCUCCUGGCUUAACUGGGAGGGUGCGCCGGAAACUGGAGUGCUCGAACGUGGGAGAGGAAAGCGAAAUUCCUGGUGUAGCGGUGAAAUGCGUAGAUAUCAGGAGGAACACCUGCGGUGUAGACGGCUUUCUGGAACAUUGUUGACGCUGAGACACGAAAGCGUGGGUAGCAAACAGGAUUAGAUACCCCGGUAGUCCCUGUCUCUUAUAC